RNAcentral lists this long non-coding RNA (6265 nucleotides) under Cricetulus griseus (Chinese hamster). RNAcentral describes it as "lncRNA (ENSCGRG00015030464.1)". The record is from RNAcentral. Lineage: Eukaryota; Metazoa; Chordata; Mammalia; Rodentia; Cricetidae.
GUGAAGGAGAAACAGGAAGGGUCCCCUUUUCCCCUUUCUCCUCCAGCAGCAGGAUGUGAGCCACCGGCAAGGAGGGACGCCAAUAAGGCAUCCGAUAAGAUAAGUCUUAUAAAAUAUAUAGAUUUAUGAUAAUUAAGACUGAGCCAACAGAUGAGGAAUCCUAGUCAUUGGCCAAGCAGCUUUGAACCUAAUACAAAUUUCUGUGUAUUCAUUUGGGCCUAACUUGGGCGGGCGGCUGGCGUAAAGUCCACAUGUGGCAGUGGGGCUCGGCGGCUUUUGGCAGAAAGAUUUAUCAUGACAAAUGACUGUGAUGUGGACGUGUAAUGGAAACAAACCCUCUUCUCCCCAUAUCACCUAUGUUUAUUGUGGUGUUUUACUACAUCACAGAAGCCUUAACUAAGACAGUGCGCAUGGCCUCUUUUCGGGAAAUGUGUUAUAGAGUAAAGAAAUUAAGUACUGAGACUAUAGCUCCAUGGCAGAACACUUGACCCUCAUCCAUGAGGUCCUGGGUUCAAUCCUCAGUAUUGUAAAGCAAAACAAAGAUCAUCCAAAAGUAGACAGCAUUUAUCAACUUAAAGAAUUUCUCUUUAAUUAUAUUCCUAUUUUAUUAAUUAUUUCUUCAAGCAGAGUUUGCAAAAUUAUCUCUUAUGAGCCAAACUGAAUUUGACGCUCUCUCUCUCUCUCUCUCUCUCUCUCUCUGUGUGUGUGUGUGUGUGUGUGUUGGCACACGCACUGUGAACUAAUGUAAGCAUUUAUUUAAUGUAAAAUGUCCAUUAGUACUUUGUGCUAUGAGAAAAGAUGAAAUUCAAAUUUCAGUAUCCACAAAUAGAAUUUUAUUGGGACACAGUGGUGUUCACUCAUUUGUAUGGCUGCCUUGGUAACAACAGGACAAUACUGAAUUGCUAUAACAGGAUAUAAGUGGACAAGAAUGUGAGUUUGUUGUGUUACAGAAAAAUUUAAUUGGCCUUUGCAAAGUAGUUACUUUAUAUAGUAAUAAAAUAAUUACAAAGUCAUUUUAUUUAGUAGUUCUUCUGAUCCUUUUAUGUAAAAACUGGCAUUUUGGGAAAGUUGGUUUCUUGGCUAUGCGGAGUCAGGUAAGAACAACAUCUGGACCCCCGUGUCUCCUCAUACAGAUGUGCAGGCUGACCACAGUGUCAGCCUUCCUCCCAUUAGUCCUUUUGUGUAGCAGUGAGAGGGAGGGGCCUUCAGAGUGAGGGAACAAGAGAGGGCAAGAUGGAGGGGUGGAGAGAGGGAGGAGCUUUGGGACUGUUGGGGGGAUGAAGGGGUGGGGGUGAGUUAGGUCAGAUGAGGCUCUGUGCAGAAGGUGGGUGUGGAGUGAGCAGAGGGAGGGGGUGGAUUGCUUGCUGUGGAGGGAGCUGAGACACAGCCUGCUCCAGGCUCUCACCCUUAGCAGCCUGAGGAGUUCUAAUCUCUGGGGAUUGAGGUCUUGGUCCUCAACUUGACUACAUCUGGAAUUAACUAAAACCCAAGCAUCGGGGUACACUGUGGGUUUUUUCUUCAAUUAAAAAUCAAGGUGGUAAGACCCACUUUUAAUCUGAUCUUUUAAGGUGGUCAUAUCCACCUUAAAUCUGGGCCACACCUUUUGCUGUCAGCCUCUGUAAAUAGCCUGCCCCCCUGCCAGCUUGCUCCCACUCUCCCUGCCAAGUCCAUUCCUUUGCUGGCCCGAGAGCCUACUUGUUCAGGAUUCUGGUGUGUACUGCAGACCGGCUGAGACACUCAGCCUUGUGGAAUGAACAACUGCAGGAUUCUUGGACUUUCAUUGGUAGACAACCAUUGUUGGACUAACUGGACUGCAGCCCGUAGGUCAUUCUAAUAAGUCCCCUUUCUCUUCAUAUCUAUGCAUUCUCUAGGGAACUGUGGCUAACAUGGGAACCUUGACUCAGGCCAGGAUGGUGGCUGAGCUAUUCUGCAGGAGGGUGAGGAGGAACAGAGGAACAGGGAAAGAGACUAAGCCACUCUCAAGCGUGCAGGCCUGGGCUUCUCUAAGAGAGGAAGUAAGACAUACCCAAACAUCGGUCCUGGCAUGCCUAAUUUCUGGCUCCUGAGAGGCAAGUGUUUGUCUCAUCACUCAGCAUUUUGGUUCUCAAGUUAUACCACAAAAGGUUUCUAAACUCCCCCCCACACACCCACCCCAUUUUCCUUCUUCUUCUCCCCCCUUUUAAAUUUAAAUUAGAAACAAGCUUUUACAUGUCAAUCUCGGUUCCCUCUCCCUCCCACCGGCCCCUGCUGUGCCACCAACCCCCUAUCCCAUCCCAUUUCUGCGCCCCAGGGAGGGCGAGGCCUUCCAUGGGGGAUCUUCAAAGUCUGCCAUAUCAUUUGGAGCAGGGCCUGGGCCCUCCCCGGUGUGUCUAGGCUGAGAGAGUAUCCUGUGGAGUGGGCUCCCAAAGUCCAUUCACGUACUAGGGAUAAAUACUGAUCCACUACCAGAGACCCCAUAGAUAAAUCUGACCUCCAAAUUUACACUCACCCUCAGAGGGUCUGGAACCCCUUUUCCUUCUUUAGAGAUCUGUUUUUCAGACAGUGUUUCUCUGUGCAGCCCUGGCUGUCCGGGAACUCGCUGUUUAGACCAGGCUGGCCUGGAACUCACAGAGAUGCGCCUGCCUCUGCCUCCCGAGUGCUGGGACUAAAGUGUGAUCACUGGGCAAGAUUCGUUUAUUUUUACGUGCGAGUGUUUUGUGUGUGUGUGUACUCUCCGUGUGCAUGCGGUACCCACAGAGGACAGAAGACGGCAUCAGCUCCCCCACAACUGGGGACUCACUGAGCCAUCUCUCCAGUUCACACCUUCUCCUGUUGGUGAGUGAGGUUUUAGCGUGGGAGGAGAAAAAGCAGAGCGCAAUAGUGUUGAACAGGGGUGUAGUAUGCGUUCUUUCUCCGUAGAAGGGGCUUCUGGAAAUUGGAGAGUCUUUGGAAAUUGCAGGUUUGUAUCAGGGAACAGAGAGAGGACAUUAACGGCCGGCAAUGGUGCUGGGCAUCUGGCUUAGGUGGCUGGACUGAGGACUCAGCGGGGUUUCUGGGUUGAGAAGGGUGUGAGCCUGCGGGGCAAAUGUGGAGUCAGCUGUGGCGCAGGGGGCACGAGCAGACGCCUGCGUGGAAGACAGACGCUGAGGGAAACUUGAGGCAGGACCAGCCCGAGCAGAAGGCUGGACUGUGGGGAAUGAUGAGUAGGACCUGGCAGGAGAGGCACAGGCAGGGAUUAGCAGAGAGGGCGCCUCUGAGGAGAGGAGGAGGGCGCAGGAGGGGUCGGGUGGCUGCAGGGAAACGAGGGGAGAAAAGGACUUCAGCUCAGGGAGAGACAGGCGCGGAAAGACCUGCGUAGAGAAGGCAGUGAGGGAAGGGAGGGGCGGGCAGGGGAUGCGAAGGUGUUUAGGAGAAGGGAUGGAACCGCAGUGGGAGGGAACUGGGGGGACCUAGAGAGUGGGCGGGCGGGGCGGGGCGGGGCGGGGACUACCCAGAAGGUAGAAGGGGGGGGGCGGUGCGGAGGGGGCGCGGGUGGGCGUGAAUGGGAAAUGAGCAGAAGGCAAUGGCGGGGAGUGUGUGUGUGUGUGUGUGUGUGUGUGUGUGUUGUGCGUGUGUGGUGAGUGUCAAUACGUGUGUAUGUGUACGUGCUUGUGGCGUGUGGAUGCGCGUGCGUGUGUGCGCGCAAGUGCAUGUGCACGUGUGUGGUGUCUGUGCGCGUGUGUGCACGUGUGUGGUGUGUGUGUGUGGUGUCUGUGCGUGUGUGCACGUGUGUGGUGUGCGCGCUUGCGCACGCGUCUCUGUGUGCACGUGUGUGUGCACGUGUGUGUGCACAUGUGUGUGAGUGUGUCUGUGUGCGUGUACGAUGUAUGGAGGUCACAGGACUUGGGAGGGUCCUGGCCUCAGGUUUGGCUGAAGGCAGCGUUGCACAUGAGCCACCAGCCAACUGCUUCCUCUCUUUCUGAGGCAGGACAGGAGGACAGCAAUCAAGAGGACAUGAGAAACGGAGAGGACCCCUCACAGCCCCCUGUUGGGUUAUGUCUCUUGCUGGAGAUAAGAACUUUCAAAUUUUUAUUUUAAUUUAUUAUUAUUAGUAGUAGUGAGGUAGAAUUUCACCAUGUAUAUCUGGCUGGCCUGGAACUGCUGUGUAGACCAGGCUGACCUCAGACUCACAGGGCUAUGCCUGAAAGGUUCAGGCAUUAUGCUGGCCUGCCCCUAUUACCUGGUGGAACAGGCAGUACCCUGGUCAGCCCAAGGUUCCAUGGGAACUAAGUCUGCGCGCAGGUGCAGAGGACCCCUUUAAAAGACAGGUCCCUGCCCAUUUACGCUCUCUGUUUCCUCUCUCUGUUCCCCCGCUCUGCUUUGUCUCUGCUUUCUCUCUACUCUGUCUCCCACCUAUGCUCUCUCUCUGUCUCUCUAUGGCAACCGGCCAUGGUGGUCAGCCAUUAUCCUGUUCUUCUUCUCUUAGUCUCCAUACUCUGCCGGGCCUAUAAUAAACUUAUAGUCAAUAUGUGUCAUGCCUCAGCAUUUCUAUUCUUUUUAAACAAAAGAUAACAUUUUGGCGCCCAACGUGGGGCUCGAACCCACGACCCUGGGAUUAAGAGUCCCAAGCUCUACCGACUGAUUUCUGACUCUCUUAUCUCUAAACUCUUUCCAGACCACUUAAACUACUUUUGGACACAUUUUAAAAUUGACUCUUAAAAAAAUGAUUGUGCUUACAUGGCCACCAUUUCUGUCAUAAACUGCUUGGUUGCGGGAGGUCUGACUUUAUUUCCUAUGUAUUUUUUUUUUUUUUUGGUGGAUCAUAAAGCAUUUGCAGCCAUCAAGGUCAUAAGGUCAACUGGGUGAGCUAGAGAUAGAACACUGUCAAAAGAACUAAUUAGGUAUUUAGUAAAGACAUUUUAUUUCUGAGAACACUGUCUUUCUUCGUUGGAGUAGAUAUACGUAUUGGCUUACAGAAAAAAUUUGGAAGAUGUAGUUUGUGUCAGGGAAGUCUAAUAACGGCAAACUUCUGAAUAGCAGAAAACGAAGAUGUAUAGAGGAAAUGGAUUUUGUAACUGUGUUCCACCGGGGUGAGGGCAGGGACACAGCUUGAUCCUGAAGAUCACAGUGGAAGCCCCUAUGGCCCACGUGGAGCCGGAGGUGCCCCUGGCUGAUAGCAAGGAGGCAGAACAACACACCUUUCUUGUGGUUCUAGUCGGCAUUUCUUAGGCCUUGUCCUCUGUGAAUCCUGUUUCUUCAGUAUGCCGUCCUCAUUCUUCCUGAGGGAUUCCCGAUUUCUGCAAACUGGUGGCUCACAACAAUGGGCUUUAGAUGAAAUUUCAUUAUCGGGUCCUGUGGCAAACCUUACUUGAGAUUCCAGUCUUCUUGGAAUUCCUGUCUGGGAAUCGCGUCUCUUUAGAACGCCACCUGAACACUUUCUUUCUCUUUCACGGGGCUCGCACUCUAGCAGUACAGAUCUGUUCCUGGUGGGGGAGUCGCACCUCGUUGGAGUCCCACACUCACUCUUCAGAUGGCAUCUGCUCUUCUUCAAAGAAUCCCUGCAUACUAGUGGCUUUUUGGGAAGUUUUCUAUCCGUGCAACCUGGGAAUAGAACUGAGUAUACAGCAAAAGUGUGUGAUUCAGCUCUGCCCAGCACCCACUUUUUUGACCAUAAUAUGAAACAGUCCAAUCUUCACAACAGCCAGGUGUGGAGGUACUCUAUGACGCCAGGCUGAGUUGCAGGCAGCUGGGAGCUGCCUCUUCAUGGGAGCUGAGAACUGACCUCAAGCCUUCUGAAACUGGCUUCCUGUUCAUCCCCUGCCCACAGAGAAGACCACUCUGUCCCACUGAGCUAAGAUCCACAUUCAGCUUGGUGAUGAUGUCAGUCCUCCCUGGGGUGAUACCAGUCCUCCCUGGGUCUAAGGAAAUAAAUUUCCUGCCUUCCCUUACUCUUCUGCAAGUCACUUUAAAACCCCAUUCUCCUAAUGAUAGUGAUCACAAUUAUCAUCACGUCUUGACAGCAUGUUUUGUCAGCCCUAGAGUUUUUCUUUUUUUCUUUACUUUCUUUCUUUCUUUUUUUUUUGGGGGGGGUGUGGGUUUCAAGACAGUGUUUCUCUGUAUUGCUUUGGAGGUUGUCCUGGAACUAGCUCUGUAGACCAGGCUGGCCUCCAACACUCAGAGAUCUGCCUGCCUCUGCCUCCUGAGUGCUGGGAUUAAAGGCAUGUGCCCCCAACGUCCGGCUCUGAGAGUAUUUUUCAUCUUAAGUGAGAACAAUCAGUUUGUCAGAGCACAGCACAGAGCAAGCCGG